This is a non-coding RNA of Gossypium raimondii (Peruvian cotton), 144 nucleotides long. Lineage: Eukaryota; Viridiplantae; Streptophyta; Magnoliopsida; Malvales; Malvaceae. The record is from Rfam.
UAUUAAUAAUUUCAUCCAUUUGUAUUGUUAAAAACUAGCAUUUUUUACUAAAUAAUUAGAAAAUGACACAUGGCAUGCCAUGUGUACCUCAUGCUGAUUUAUAGGGACUAGUUUUAACAAUAGAAAUGGAUGAAAAUUUUAACA